AAGAUCUGGAAUUCCUGCAGUCCAACCACUUUAUUCACAGGGACAUCAAGAGCGACAACAUUCUACCGGGAAUGGACGGCUCCGUCAAACUCAACAGUACAAACAUCCUCUAUCAGCUUUCUUCUAAAACGCACCUAGAUAUGUGAGUGCUGAUGUGAGCCUACACCAGCAGAGGGCACAGUGGUCACAUUGUACUUACAGAAGGUCUGACACAGAAAAUGAGUAUUGAGACUUAGAGAGCCACGGCACUGCAGAGUUUAGCAUUUUUCCUAUUUGAUGCUCAUUCUGAAGCUGAGGUGUUUCACCUACAAGUCUUGAUACCUUGAUAUUAGGCACUAAGGUAGCAUUAGUACUCAAGCAUCGUUAUAUAUCAUAAAUGCCCACCUCUGACUGCUAUGUUUUUGUGUGUGUGAUUGUGUGUGUUUUUUUGCUUCUGCGCCCAGAUCACCCCUGAACAGAGUAAGUGCAUCACCAUGGUCUGCACUUCGAAUUGGAAUGGUCCCGGAAGUCGUAACCCACAAGGCUUAUGGACCCAAAGUAGACAUCUGGUCUCUGGGCAUCUCUAUAAUGGCUAUAGAGAUGAUUGAGGGAGAGCCUCCAUACCUCAGUGAGAAUCCUCUGAGGGUAAGAGGGAUGGAAUUGAUGCAAAUGAACACAGUGAUGUUUUUGUUGUUGGCGCUGUAUCUCAUUGCCACUAAUGGAAGUCCAGAGCUGCAGAACCCAGAGAAUCAUCUGUCAUCUGUUUUCUGAUAUUUCCUCAACCACUGUUUAGAGAUGGAUGUGGACAAAAGAGGUUCUGCCAAAGAGCUUCUACAGCUGUUCAUGAUUCAUCACAGGGCAGCUGAACACACUUGGAAGAUUUUACGAAAGCACUAAAUAGCCUCUUUUGAAUACACAAGCUCACAAAAGCCCGAUGAUUACUUACUGUCAUUCUGAUUGACUGAGGAAAGAGCAAUGCUGUCCUUAUGGCUCUCUUCAACUUCCAGCCACAGACGAGAGGUGUGCAUUGGGACUGGGAUCUCACAGGACGCAGCAAAAAAAGUCACUGGAACAGGCGGUUUUUACUUUAAUGCAUGUGAAGGUCAUGGGGCAAAGAAGGACCACGCCAAUUAACAUUGGAGCGUAUUGGGCAUAGCAGAUUGCUCAGGCGGCGUGUUUACAGAGUUCAUUCAAUUAUGUUCAAUGAAUUAUAGACAAAGACUAAAUGUUAUUGGUGGAGGACAAACAAACCUGAUGGAGGACAAACAAUACAGAAUGAUAGAAAUUCUACAGGCUCAUUCAAGAGCAUAAACAGUCAGUACAUAAUGCUAGCACUCCACAUUUAAAAGAAAAAAAACAAUGCAAAAAAACAAUACAAACCCUAUAGACCCCUGCCUUUAAUUAAAAAUUGUCUAAGGCUCAUUUGCUUCUAUACAUGGUGUGUGUUAAGCAUUUUCUAACCUUUAUUUUUCAGUUUCUGACUAUUGUCUGCAGAUUUUUGGCUGGUGGAUCGUCACUCCACCCAGAAUUCCUCCUGACCCACCAUGUCAGGGCCACAUCUGUUCUGAGAAUGAUAAACCAC
Long non-coding RNA from Ictalurus punctatus (channel catfish), 1561 nucleotides. RefSeq lists it as uncharacterized. Lineage: Eukaryota; Metazoa; Chordata; Actinopteri; Siluriformes; Ictaluridae. The record is from RefSeq and is a predicted model, not a curated record. The transcript is spliced from 4 exons.